GGAGCCGCCGGGCUGACCGACUGGCGGGAGUCAGCCUGGGGCCCCUCCCCAGACUCCACGGCUGGGCUCCCUGAGCCUUGGGCCCCUCCACGGUGAAGCAGGAUGGUUGUGAGCAUUCCAGGCUGAUUCAUCUAAUGGGAAUUUGAAUGCUGGUGGAAAACUGUACAGAAAAUCCAGGGUCACCCCAAGUAGAGUUGCAGUGUGACAGUAGCUCUUCUUGGCUUGCACUCUUACGCUGAGCCAGCUCAUCCAGGAACGAAGGUUGGCCUUUCUCCUCUUCCGUCAGCUGGCCAUAACAGACACCCCCAUGCAGCCGUAGUCGUGAGCUAGUUGUGACCCCGUAGCCGUGAAUGCCGGAGCAGUAGUGGUGGACGACGCGGAGUUGUGGGCCAACAACUGGAAAAGCCUACGUGUGCCCUCUGGCCCUCCUGCUCAUGCGUGGCCCUGCGUCUUCCACUCCCACUUUAUGACGGAUUCUUGCUGCUGGGCCUGGCAGAACCCAGCUCAUGAUGAUCUCUGCUUGCAGAGUUACUUGAUGUCCCGUGGUCAUUUGGUCUGUCUCAAUCAGGGCCAUUCAUCUAGAAGAACUUCUUUUCAAAUGCUGUAAAGUUCUUUGCUACAGAGGAUGUGUCCUUGCUCCAAAGUCCCGGGACCCUAUGCUGCACUUCUUCUGGGAUUACCAGUAACCGUGCACACUUUCCCACCACAGGUCCCUCUAAUAUCACGGGGCCUGCUGAGUGAUGGGGCAGGUCUCCUUGCACCGGGGCCUCGACCUGCUGCAGUGCUCUGUCACCCAGUAAAAGGGCCGGGGCAGUAUUUUGAAAUGCGGGGGGAAAUAGCUACUGAGUAGACUUAGUGAGGUAUUUCAGGUUCCAUCCUCAUAGCGACCAGCCUGUCCUCUGUCAGUUGGUUCCUGAUCUGAGAAACUGGGUAAGUGUCUGUGACCAAGCUGCCCUAAGCCUACUGACCAUCCUUUUUGUUUUUGUUUUUUUUUCUAUCUAUCUUUAUUUUACAAAUUGAUACUUUUUAUUGACUGCCUCUGGAAACACUGAGUUCUGUUAACUGUGCUGAUGUCUAUGCAUGGGAUCCCUGGUUGCCAUUCCAGUUUUGCAACCCCUUGCGAUAAUUGCACACACCUUGCUUCUGACGGUUAAGUAUUCACCUGGCCUCUGUUAUUUCGGGAUCCCAUCAUCCCUGUUGAGGAGCACAGUUUUAUAACAGAGUCUUCACCAGUCAACCGUGGCAUAUGGAAGAGCAUUACCACUGAGAUUCUCGCGGGUUGUGACCCUCUUAACAACGCAUGUCUUACCAGUAUGGUAAAUGGCGUGUCCUCUGGGCUUCUCUUAGGACAGAGUCAGCUGGUGGGUUUUCCAGCCCUGUAUAGGUACACCCUCUGACACGCCCACCCCGAGGCAUUUGGUAUCUUCGGCCGUGGCCAGUGCAACAUUUCUACUUCACUUGGUAUGUGAUGUUGCUUUCUCCGAGCUUCCAAGAGCCGUGCUAGCACUUAGGAUCUUUGCCAGGGAGAUAAAUCCUGUAUUCUGGGAGAGUAUUCUCAUUACCAACAAACUCUCCCUCACCCAACGGUAGUCGGUCUUCUUCAUGAUUGUACUGCUAGGUAUGAAAAUGAGCCACGUUUUUGCCUUUGGUGUACAAAAAGGUCCUACAAUGAUCCCUUCGAUAAAGGCUAUUUGGUUAGGAGUCACCCAUUAUAUCCCAGCCCAGGUUCCGGGAUGAAGAAAGGGGAACAGAGCCCCAGCAGGGUUGCUUUCCAGAGGUCUGCCAUAUUGCAAUAACAAUAUAAUACUCUGGAUCCAAUUUUUAAAAUCAAGAUUAAAAUGCUAUAUGGGUUGGGGCACCGGGAUGGCUCAGUCGGUUGAGCAUCUGACUUCGGCUCAGGUCAUGAUCUCACCGUUUGUGAGU
Long non-coding RNA from Lynx canadensis (Canada lynx), 1923 nucleotides. RefSeq lists it as uncharacterized. The transcript has 3 exons. The record is from RefSeq and is a predicted model, not a curated record. NCBI's taxonomy places the organism in Eukaryota, Metazoa, Chordata, Mammalia, Carnivora, Felidae.